This 322-nucleotide ribosomal RNA is filed under the name uncultured prokaryote. Its description in RNAcentral is "bacterial SSU rRNA". It matches the Rfam family "Bacterial small subunit ribosomal RNA", at positions 26 to 352 of the family's 1533-position model. The record is from RNAcentral.
AGAUUGAACGCUGGCGGCAUGCCUAACACAUGCAAGUCGAACGGUAGCAGGCCUUCGGGUGCUGACGAGUGGCGGACGGGUGAGUAAUGCGUAGGAAUCUGCCCUGAUGUGGGGGAUAACGUAGGGAAACUUACGCUAAUACCGCAUACGACCGAGAGGUGAAAGCGGGGGACCGAAAGGCCUCGCGCAGCAGGAUGAGCCGAUGUCCGAUUAGCUGGUUGGUGGGUAACGGCCCGACCAAGGCGACGAUCGGUAGCUGGUCUGAGAGGAUGAUCAGCCACACUGGGACUGAGACACGGCCCAGACUCCUACGGGAGGCAGC